RNAcentral lists this ribosomal RNA (508 nucleotides) under uncultured bacterium. RNAcentral's name for it is "partial 16S ribosomal RNA". It matches the Rfam family "Bacterial small subunit ribosomal RNA", at positions 28 to 507 of the family's 1533-position model. The record is from RNAcentral.
GACGAACGCUGGCGGCGUGCCUAAUACAUGCAAGUCGAACGCUUCUUUCCUCCCGAGUGCUUGCACUCAAUUGGAAAGAGGAGUGGCGGACGGGUGAGUAACACGUGGGUAACCUACCCAUCAGAGGGGGAUAACACUUGGAAACAGGUGCUAAUACCGCAUAACAGUUUAUGCCGCAUGGCAUAAGAGUGAAAGGCGCUUUCGGGUGUCGUUGAUGGAUGGACCCGCGGUGCAUUAGCUAGUUGGUGAGGUAACGGCUCACCAAGGCCACGAUGCAUAGCCGACCUGAGGGGGUGAUCGGCCACACUGGGACUGAGACACGGCCCAGACUCCUACGGGAGGCAGCAGUAGGGAAUCUUCGGCAAUGGACGAAAGUCUGACCGAGCAACGCCGCGUGAGUGAAGAAGGUGUUCGGAUCGUAAAACUCUGUUGUUAGAGAAGAACAAGGACGUUAGUAACUGAACGUCCCCUGACGGUAUCUAACCAGAAAGCCACGGCUAACUACGUG